GACGAACGCUGGCGGCGCGCCUAACACAUGCAAGUCGAACGAGCGAGAGAGAGCUUGCUUUCUCGAGCGAGUGGCGAACGGGUGAGUAACGCGUGAGGAACCUGCCUCAAAGAGGGGGACAACAGUUGGAAACGACUGCUAAUACCGCAUAAGCCCACGACCCGGCAUCGGGUAGAGGGAAAAGAGCAAUCCGCUUUGAGAUGGCCUCGCGUCCGAUUAGCUAGUUGGUGAGGUAACGGCCCACCAAGGCGACGAUCGGUAGCCGGACUGAGAGGUUGAACGGCCACAUUGGGACUGAGACACGGCCCAGACUCCUACGGGAGGCAGCAGUGGGGAAUAUUGCACAAUGGGGGAAACCCUGAUGCAGCGACGCCGCGUGGAGGAAGAAGGUCUUCGGAUUGUAAACUCCUGUUGUUGAGGAAGAUAAUGACGGUACUCAACAAGGAAGUGACGGCUAACUACGUG
Molecule: ribosomal RNA, 465 nt
Filed under: uncultured bacterium
Lineage: Bacteria
Description: partial 16S ribosomal RNA
Rfam family: Bacterial small subunit ribosomal RNA
Source: RNAcentral